UACAGAGGGUGCAAGCGUUAUCCGGAUUUACUGGGCGUAAAGCGCGCGCAGGCGGUCCUUCAAGUCAGAGGUGAAAGCCCAGAGCUCAACUCUGGAAUGGCCUUUGAGACUAGAGGACUUGGGUACGGGAGAGGUGAGUGGAAUUCCGAGUGUAGAGGUGAAAUUCGUAGAUAUUCGGAAGAACACCAGUGGCGAAGGCGGCUCACUGGCCCGUUACCGACGCUCAGGCGCGACAGCGUGGGGAGCAAACAGG
This 253-nucleotide ribosomal RNA is filed under the name uncultured bacterium. RNAcentral's name for it is "partial 16S ribosomal RNA". It matches the Rfam family "Bacterial small subunit ribosomal RNA", at positions 524 to 776 of the family's 1533-position model. The record is from RNAcentral.